Molecule: transfer RNA, 71 nt
Filed under: Loxodonta africana (African savanna elephant)
Lineage: Eukaryota; Metazoa; Chordata; Mammalia; Proboscidea; Elephantidae
Rfam family: tRNA
About the family: Transfer RNA (tRNA) molecules are approximately 80 nucleotides in length. Their secondary structure includes four short double-helical elements and three loops (D, anti-codon, and T loops).
Source: Rfam by way of RNAcentral
GCAGUGGUAGUUCAGCGGUAGAAUUCUCGCCUUCCAUGCAGGAGAUCCAGGUUCCAUUCCCAGCGAAUGCA